This 460-nucleotide ribosomal RNA is filed under the name uncultured bacterium. Its description in RNAcentral is "partial 16S ribosomal RNA". It matches the Rfam family "Bacterial small subunit ribosomal RNA", at positions 338 to 795 of the family's 1533-position model. The record is from RNAcentral.
CCUACGGGCGGCAGCAGUGAGGAAUAUUGGUCAAUGGACGAGAGUCUGAACCAGCCAAGUAGCGUGAAGGAUGACUGCCCUAUGGGUUGUAAACUUCUUUUAUAUGGGAAUAAAAUGUUCCACGUGUGGGAUUUUGUAUGUACCAUAUGAAUAAGGAUCGGCUAACUCCGUGCCAGCAGCCGCGGUAAUACGGAGGAUCCGAGCGUUAUCCGGAUUUAUUGGGUUUAAAGGGAGCGUAGGUGGAUUGUUAAGUCAGUUGUGAAAGUUUGCGGCUCAACCGUAAAGUUGCAGUUGAAACUGGCAGUCUUGAGUACAGUAGAGGUGGGCGGAAUUCGUGGUGUAGCGGUGAAAUGCUUAGAUAUCACGAAGAACUCCGAUUGCGAAGGCAGUUCACUGGACUGCAACUGACACUGAGGCUCGAAAGUGUGGGUAUCAAACAGGAUUAGAUACCCCUGUAGUC